GGGUCGUUAGCUCAGCUGGUAGAGCAGCGGACUCUUAAUCCGUAGGUCGAGCGUUCGAUCCGCUCACGACCCA
This 73-nucleotide transfer RNA is filed under the name Nitrosospira sp. Nl5. It matches the Rfam family "tRNA". From Rfam's summary of the family: Transfer RNA (tRNA) molecules are approximately 80 nucleotides in length. Their secondary structure includes four short double-helical elements and three loops (D, anti-codon, and T loops). Further hydrogen bonds mediate the characteristic L-shaped molecular structure. tRNAs have two regions of fundamental functional importance: the anti-codon, which is responsible for specific mRNA codon recognition, and the 3' end, to which the tRNAs corresponding amino acid is attached (by aminoacyl-tRNA synthetases). tRNAs cope with the degeneracy of the genetic code in two manners: having more than one tRNA (with a specific anti-codon) for a particular amino acid; and 'wobble' base-pairing, i.e. permitting non-standard base-pairing at the 3rd anti-codon position. Lineage: Bacteria; Pseudomonadati; Pseudomonadota; Betaproteobacteria; Nitrosomonadales; Nitrosomonadaceae. The record is from Rfam by way of RNAcentral.